AUUGAACGCUGGCGGCAGGCCUAACACAUGCAAGUCGAGCGGAUGAAGGGAGCUUGCUCCUGGAUUCAGCGGCGGACGGGUGAGUAAUGCCUAGGAAUCUGCCUGGUAGUGGGGGAUAACGUCCGGAAACGGGCGCUAAUACCGCAUACGUCCUGAGGGAGAAAGUGGGGGAUCUUCGGACCUCACGCUAUCAGAUGAGCCUAGGUCGGAUUAGCUAGUUGGUGGGGUAAAGGCCUACCAAGGCGACGAUCCGUAACUGGUCUGAGAGGAGGAUCAGUCACACUGGAACGGAGACACGGUCCAGACUCCUACGGGAGGCAGCAGUGGGAAAUAUUGGACAAUGGGCGAAAGCCUGAUCCAGCCAGGCCGCGUGUGUGAAGAAGGUCUUCGGAUUGUAAAGCACUUUAAGUUGGGAGGAAGGGCAGUAAGUUAAUACCUUGCUGUUUUGACGUUACCAACAGAAUAAGCACCGGCUAACUUCGU
RNAcentral lists this ribosomal RNA (483 nucleotides) under uncultured bacterium. RNAcentral's name for it is "partial 16S ribosomal RNA". It matches the Rfam family "Bacterial small subunit ribosomal RNA", at positions 30 to 506 of the family's 1533-position model. The record is from RNAcentral.